UAUAUAUUUGAAAGUUUUUGUUGUAUUUGUCUUUGUUCAAAACAUAAUAAAUAUAUGCGAUCGAUAUCAUUACUUAUUUGGUCACAGCACUACAACUAUCAAAUUAGAACUGUCAUCGAGAAAACAAAGAAAUGGAAAUAGUAUAAGGCACUGAGCUUAUCCCAUAGUAUAGUUAGUAUUUUAUUAUUAUUUAGGCACUUAUUAACUCCAUGGCUCAUCCUAACACAACACAUGAAAAAAACAUUGAUCUAAGAAGACCAGCAUGCAGCCCAAUAUAAUUUUUCGGGUUUGAUUUUUAUUACACGAUUUAUUAUCCUUCACCAUGGAAGUCAGUUGCGAAUGCUUGUUAGGAAACUCCAGUCGCGCAUCGGAGCGUAUUAUUUUGUUUACAAUAAAUAAAAACAAAUUGUGUUUGUUUAAUUUUUAUUACGAAAUAUUAUUAAAAAUCAUUCUAAGUAACGCAAUGUAAUAGCUAAAUUAAACUACGCUUAUUAAUAUUACUUAAUGUUUAAUUGGAUGUUGAAAUACUGGCAGUGAAAAAUACACUAAUAUACGUACAAAAUUACAACUACUUUGUUAACACUGCUUUGAGAUUGAAAAUUGUCGGUAAUUUAUGACCAUUCCUAUUAAUUUCGAGGACCAAAUUCAUUCUCUCUCUAUAUCUCAAUAAAAAUAACAGUUCAUUAUUUUAUAAAUGUAUUAUUAAUUUGGUGUUAAUUUGUUAAUUAGCGCAUGUGUACAAAAGCAAUUUGGAAAAUAUUCGUUACGCAGUUACAAAAUUGCACUGUUUGUACAAAUAUACACAAGAACAUUUACUCAAAAUCCAAAUUAAUUAAAUGCAAUGCUGUUUCUGAUUUUUGUUAAAACAGUUGAUGCAAUUAAAAAAAGUAUAAAAAAAAGAAAA
Bombyx mori (domestic silkworm) is the source of this 904-nucleotide long non-coding RNA. RefSeq lists it as uncharacterized. NCBI's taxonomy places the organism in Eukaryota, Metazoa, Arthropoda, Insecta, Lepidoptera, Bombycidae. The record is from RefSeq and is a predicted model, not a curated record. The transcript has 3 exons.